This 72-nucleotide transfer RNA is filed under the name Ictidomys tridecemlineatus (thirteen-lined ground squirrel). RNAcentral's name for it is "Spermophilus tridecemlineatus (thirteen-lined ground squirrel) tRNA". It matches the Rfam family "tRNA". Rfam says of the family: Transfer RNA (tRNA) molecules are approximately 80 nucleotides in length. Their secondary structure includes four short double-helical elements and three loops (D, anti-codon, and T loops). The record is from Rfam by way of RNAcentral. Lineage: Eukaryota; Metazoa; Chordata; Mammalia; Rodentia; Sciuridae.
GGGGCGGUGGCUCAAGGGUAGAGCGCUCGGCUAGCAUGUGGGAGGCCCUGGGUUCGAUCCCCUGUUGUUUUG